AUGAUGACACGCAAGAAAUGUGAUUCUGCAGAACUGCAAAAUCUGGAGAAGAUAAUGAAUAUUCAUAAAGAAUUGAUAAAAAGAAGAGAAAAUAUGAAGGAUAUUCCUGAAGAAGCUGUAUCAGUAGGAGAGUUUCUAUUACAGGUAUGGACAAGGACUGCCAGCAAUCAGCACCUAUAUGUUCAUUUGCUACUGAAUAGAAAAUUUCUGCUCUGGUUUCCAGAGAUAAAAGAAGUUGUUCAUAAUAAGAUGUUCUCAAAGCACUGGAAAUGAUAGCCGUUCAAGCCUUCCACAAGUGUAUUGCAACAGGAAUGAAGAUACAUGCAGAGAACGUAGGGGUGGCAGAAAAAAGACAGCUGACAGUGUCACAGAACAAGCCAGGUGAGAUUUUACAUUUGUUUAAGUACAUUGGAAGUGCAAGGGCUUCUCUGCAUAGGUAGCACAAGAGCCUUCUGGUCAUUUAGGCUGCCAUAAUGUGAAAUAUUAUCAUAGGCCAGAAAGCAAAAUGAAACAACAGGCUUCUGGGAAUGCCUUUCAUUUUUAAGACUGCAGUUCUCAGUGCUUUCCAGUAUAUUACAUUUGUACUUCCACUCUUUCCUGAGAACAUUAUUCUUUGUAAAGUACCUAUGGCCAAACAGCAUUCAGAACUAGUUAUUCCCCUCGUCUGUGUUAACACAGGGUGUGUCCUGUUUUAUUCCCUGUUAUGAAUGCUCACAUUAUUAUUAAGUUUUGUUCACACAAACGUUUGUGAAACUGCUGCUUUAUUCAAAUAAAACCUCUCUGUGUGGAAAAAAAAAGGAAAAA
RNAcentral lists this long non-coding RNA (804 nucleotides) under Anser cygnoides (Swan goose). Its description in RNAcentral is "lncRNA (ENSACDG00005008970.1)". The record is from RNAcentral. Lineage: Eukaryota; Metazoa; Chordata; Aves; Anseriformes; Anatidae.